RNAcentral lists this ribosomal RNA (254 nucleotides) under uncultured bacterium. RNAcentral's name for it is "partial 16S ribosomal RNA". It matches the Rfam family "Bacterial small subunit ribosomal RNA", at positions 524 to 776 of the family's 1533-position model. The record is from RNAcentral.
UACGUAGGGGGCGAGCGUUGUCCGGAUUUAUUGGGCGUAAAGAGCUCGUAGGCGGUUUGGUAAGUCGGGUGUGAAAUCUCCACGCUCAACGUGGAGGGGCCACUCGAUACUGCCAUGACUCGAGUCCGGUAGAGGAGUGUGGAAUUCCCGGUGUAGAGGUGAAAUUCGUAGAUAUCGGGAGGAACACCAGUGGCGAAGGCGGCGACCUGGACGGACAUUGACGCUGAGACGCGAAAGCGUGGGGAGCAAGCAGG